UACAGAGACUGCAAGCGUUAUUCGGAUUCACUGGGCGUAAAGGGUGCGCAGGCGGCCGUGUGUGUGAGGCGUGAAAGCCCGGGGCUUAACCCCGGAAUUGCACCUCAAACUACAUGGCUAGAGCAUUGGAGAAGGGUAGCGGAAGUUCACGGUGUAGCAGUGAAAAUGCGUAGAUAUCGUGAGGAACACCAGAGGCGAAAGGCGGCUACCUGGACAAUUGCUGACGCUCAGGCAACGAAA
RNAcentral lists this ribosomal RNA (240 nucleotides) under uncultured bacterium. RNAcentral's name for it is "partial 16S ribosomal RNA". It matches the Rfam family "Bacterial small subunit ribosomal RNA", at positions 524 to 758 of the family's 1533-position model. The record is from RNAcentral.